GAUGAACGCUGGCGGCGUGCCUAAUACAUGCAAGUCGAGCGAACGGACGAGAAGCUUGCUUCUCUGAUGUUAGCGGCGGACGGGUGAGUAACACGUGGAUAACCUACCUAUAAGACUGGGAUAACUUCGGGAAACCGGAGCUAAUACCGGAUAAUAUUUUGAACCGCAUGGUUCAAAAGUGAAAGACGGUCUUGCUGUCACUUAUAGAUGGAUCCGCGCUGCAUUAGCUAGUUGGUAAGGUAACGGCUUACCAAGGCAACGAUGCAUAGCCGACCUGAGAGGGGGGGCGGCGACACGGGAGCUGAGGCGCGGUCCAGGCUGCUACGGGAGGCAGCAGUAGGGAAUCUUCCGCAAUGGGCGGAAGCCUGACGGAGCAACGCCGCGUGAGUGAUGAAGGUCUUCGGAUCGUAAAACUCUGUUAUUAGGGAAGAACAUAUGUGUAAGUAACUGUGCACAGCGUGACGGUACCUAAUCAGAAAGCCACGGCUAACUACGUG
RNAcentral lists this ribosomal RNA (497 nucleotides) under uncultured bacterium. RNAcentral's name for it is "partial 16S ribosomal RNA". It matches the Rfam family "Bacterial small subunit ribosomal RNA", at positions 28 to 507 of the family's 1533-position model. The record is from RNAcentral.